AUUGAACGCUGGCGGCAUGCCUUACACAUGCAAGUCGAACGGCAGCAUGAUCUAGUUUGCUAGAUUGAUGGCGAGUGGCGAACGGGUGAGUAAUACAUCGGAACGUGCUCUGUAGUGGGGGAUAACUAGGCGAAAGAUUAGCUAAUACCGCAUACGACCUGAAGGUGAAGGUUGGGGACCGCAAGGCCUCAUGCUAUAGGAGCAGCCGAUGACGGAUUAGCUAGUUGGUGAGGUAACGGCUCACCAAGGCGACGAUCAGUAGCUGAUCUGAGAGGACGAUCAGCCACACUGGAACUGAGACACGGCCCAGACUCCUACGGGAGGCAGCAGUAGGGAAUUUUGGGCAAUGGGCGAAAGCCUGAUCCAGCAAUGCCGCGUGUGUGAAGAAGGCCUUCGGGUUGUAAAGCACUUUUGUCCGGAAAGAAAAGACUCUGAUUAAUACCUGCAGUCGUUGACGGUACCGAAAGAAUAAGGACCGGCUAACUACGUG
Molecule: ribosomal RNA, 490 nt
Filed under: uncultured bacterium
Lineage: Bacteria
Description: partial 16S ribosomal RNA
Rfam family: Bacterial small subunit ribosomal RNA
Source: RNAcentral